RNAcentral lists this ribosomal RNA (57 nucleotides) under uncultured Psathyrellaceae. RNAcentral describes it as "partial 5.8S ribosomal RNA". Lineage: Eukaryota; Fungi; Basidiomycota; Agaricomycetes; Agaricales; Psathyrellaceae. The record is from RNAcentral.
UAAGUACUGUGACUUGCGGAAUUCAGUGAAUCAUCGCAUCUUUGAACGCACCUUGCG